This 21-nucleotide microRNA is filed under the name Anolis carolinensis (green anole). Its description in RNAcentral is "aca-miR-5406-3p". Lineage: Eukaryota; Metazoa; Chordata; Lepidosauria; Squamata; Anolidae. The record is from miRBase by way of RNAcentral.
UAGGAGCGAAACUCUAAAAGA